This 336-nucleotide unclassified non-coding RNA is filed under the name soil metagenome. RNAcentral's name for it is "partial contains 5.8S ribosomal RNA, internal transcribed spacer 2, and large subunit ribosomal RNA". The stretch from base 1 to 120 matches the Rfam family "5.8S ribosomal RNA", at positions 35 to 154 of the family's 154-position model. The record is from RNAcentral.
GAUGAAGAACGUAGCGAAAUGCGAUAAGUAAUGUGAAUUGCAGAAUUCAGUGAAUCAUCGAAUCUUUGAACGCUCAUUGCGCCCGCCAGUAUUCUGGCGGGCAUGCCUGUUCGAGCGUCAUUUCAACCAUCAAGCCCCCGGCUUGUGUUGGGGACCUGCGGCUGCCGCAGGCCCUGAAAAGCAGUGGCGGGCUCGCUGUCACACCGAGCGUAGUAGCAUACAUCUCGCUCUGGGCGUGCUGCGGGUUCCGGCCGUUAAACCACCUUCAUAACCCAAGGUUGACCUCGGAUCAGGUAGGAAGACCCGCUGAACUUAAGCAUAUCAAUAAGCGGAGGA